GACGAACCGUGCGAACGUUGUUCGGAUUCACUGGGCUUAAAGGGCGCGUAGGCGGGCGGUCAAGUCGGGGGUGAAAUCUUUCAGCUUACCUGGAAAAGUGCCUCCGAUACUGAUCGCCUCGAGGGAGGUGAGGGGCAUGUGGAACUUCCGGUGGAGCGGUGAAAUGCGUAGAUAUCGGAAGGAACGCCGGUGGCGAAAGCGACGUGCUGGACCUCUUCUGACGCUGAGGCGCGAAAGCUAGGGGGAGCAAACGGG
Molecule: ribosomal RNA, 255 nt
Filed under: uncultured bacterium
Lineage: Bacteria
Description: partial 16S ribosomal RNA
Rfam family: Bacterial small subunit ribosomal RNA
Source: RNAcentral